RNAcentral lists this unclassified non-coding RNA (405 nucleotides) under Hevea brasiliensis (rubber tree). The record is from RNAcentral. Lineage: Eukaryota; Viridiplantae; Streptophyta; Magnoliopsida; Malpighiales; Euphorbiaceae.
GUUGAGUACAUCGGAGUUUCAACGGCGGCGCCGGUGGUCGGAGAUGAGGAUUUGGACUUCUUUGAUGUUUCGGCUACUGCUACGUCUUCUUCUCUUACAAAAUCUCGUGAAUUUCGCUCGGCUGAUUUGGUUUCUGUUGAUAUUUCUCUGUCUGACUCGGGUGUGAGAUGCUCAACUAAUACUCAGACAACUAUAAUUGAUUCAGCUAGAAGCAGUAAUGUUAUCCCAGCUAUUCGUUCGGGUAGCUAUACUGAUAUCGGACCUCGUAGAUCCAAUGAAGAUGAGCAUAUUCGUGUUGAUGAUCUUUCAGCUCAGUUAGGAUCUCUAUACAAUUGGCCUCUUCCAGGUGCCUUCUAUGCUGUGUUUGAUGGUCAUGGAGGUUCUGAUGCAGCUGCUUAUGUCAGG